Oxyura jamaicensis (ruddy duck) is the source of this 3600-nucleotide RNA transcript. It is a transcript of the gene named WEE1 G2 checkpoint kinase, with no coding region annotated. The transcript is spliced from 12 exons. NCBI's taxonomy places the organism in Eukaryota, Metazoa, Chordata, Aves, Anseriformes, Anatidae. The record is from RefSeq and is a predicted model, not a curated record.
AUGAGCUUCCUCAGCCUGCAGCAGGCGGCGCCGCCGCGGCGGGCGUCGGCCCGGCGGGCGGCCGCCCCGAUCCGUCAGAAGCUGCUGUUCCUGAGCGGCCACAGCGACUGCGAGGAGGAGGAGGAGGACGAGGAGGAGGAGGGCGGCAGCAGCGGCAACAGCACCGGCGAGGACUCGGCCUUCCAGGAGGCGGACUCGCCGCUCUCGGUGGCUCGCACCCCGGCGCGGGGCGACCCGCCCCUGCUGGAGGAGGAGGAGGAGGAGGAGAUGGAGCCCGCGGCGGCGCCGCUGCCGGACGAGGGAGACUCGUGGGAGGAGGAAGGCUUCGGCUCCUCGCCGGUCAAGUCGCCUGGAGCCUACUUCAUGGCCGGCUCGCCCUCGCCGCCGCCUCCCCACAAGGGCCGGCGCUACGGGGGGCGCUCCCCGCCGCACCUGGCGGCGGGCGGCUACCGGCCGCGGAGCGAGGAGCCCGGCUCGCCGCUGCCCGACUACCCCGGCACCCCGCCCCACAAGACCUUCCGCAAGCUGCGCCUCUUCGACACGCCGCACACCCCCAAGAGUUUGCUCUCUAAAGCACAAGGACUAGGUUCCAGCUCAGCCAAACUUCGAGGGGGCUCUCUAUUUAUGAAUGUUGGGAAGUCGGAGAAGCGAGAUUCUGAUAUCAGACAAACACCUCAUGUGAACAUUAAUCCCUUCACUCCUGAUUCCAUGUUCCUUCACAACUCUGAAGGACAAUGUCGGAGGAGAAAGAGAACACACUGGAAUGACUCGUGCGGAGAAGACAUGGAAGCAAGUGAUGGAGAGCUUGAAGAUGAAACUACCAGACCUGCUAAGAGGAUCACAAUAACGGAAAGUAAUAUGAAGUCACGGUAUGCAACCGAAUUUCAUGAGUUGGAGAAGAUUGGAUCCGGUGAAUUUGGUUCUGUGUUUAAAUGUGUGAAGAGGCUUGAUGGCUGUAUUUAUGCUAUAAAGCGAUCUAAGAAACCCUUAGCUGGCUCAGUGGACGAGCAAAAUGCUUUAAGAGAGGUCUAUGCACAUGCAGUUCUGGGGCAGCAUUCGCAUGUAGUAAGAUACUACUCUGCGUGGGCAGAAGAUGACCAUAUGCUCAUACAGAAUGAAUAUUGCAAUGGUGGCAGUUUAGCAGAUGCCAUAAGUGAAAAUUACAGGAAUAUGCGUUAUUUUACUGAGCCGGAGCUGAAGGACCUACUGCUUCAGGUGGCUCGAGGCUUAAAGUACAUUCAUUCCAUGUCACUGGUGCACAUGGAUAUUAAACCUAGUAACAUCUUCAUAUCCAGGACAUCAGUCCCAAGUACGACUUCAGAAGAAGGAGAUGAUGAUGAGUGGUCAUCUGAUAGAGUCAUAUUUAAAAUAGGUGACCUUGGUCAUGUAACUCGAGUAUCUAGUCCACAAGUGGAAGAAGGGGAUAGCCGUUUUCUUGCAAAUGAAGUCCUACAAGAGAACUACACUCAUUUGCCAAAAGCAGAUAUUUUUGCUCUUGCUCUGACUGUUGUCUGCGCUGCUGGGGCUGAACCGCUUCCAACUAACGGGGACCAAUGGCAUGAAAUUCGACAAGGAAAACUACCGAGAAUACCACAAGUGCUUUCUCAAGAAUUACUAGACCUACUAAAAGUUAUGAUUAAUCCUGAUCCAGAGAAAAGACCUUCAGCUGUGGCACUAGUCAAGCAUUCAGUGCUGCUCUCUGCUGCAAAAAAGAGUGCAGAGCAGCUGAGGAUAGAACUGAAUGCUGAAAAAUUCAAAAACUCACUCUUGCAGAACUUCAGGAACAGUACUUAGACAGCUGGAAAACUGAAACCUGUGGACGAUUUGAAUUGAGACGUGACUGUGAAGAUGGAAUACUAGAUGAAACUGCAAAGAAAGACCUGCUAGGUCUGAGGAACAACUUUCCUGAGUCAGGCCACUGGGGAGAUUGAGAAUCAUGGUCUCGAGAGUGGCUUGUGGGAAGAGCUUGAGAUUUGUAGAGUGUGUGUGUGUUAAUGCUUCCUUUGAAUACUCCUAGCAUCCAGUCAUAUGUGGUUCAAAUGCUUGCUGAAUGAGAAGUGGUGUCUCUAUUUUACUGCCCCUGAAAUAUUUUUUUUUCUUAAAUAAAAAUAAUCUUAAAGUAAUUUUGGUAGCUUAUGAAUUUACUGCAAAAACGCUUGAGCAAAAUUUGUACGUAGGUAUGCAAGCCAUCUUUUCAGGUGGAAGAAGAAACUACUACCCUCUUGCAAAACGUAGGAAGUUGGAUGUCAGUUGGAGAAAUUCUAACAAGCAUGGUGUAACAAGAGGAGCUUCAACACUUUAAGAGCUUUAUCUAUAUUUAAUUUUUAAAAAAUACCAUUGGUGACUGGUAGAUGUUAUUCAAAAUAGCUACAUUUAAUGUUUCACUGUGUUUCCAGUUCCAUUUUCCAAAACAGAUAGCAUAGUACCUUGACUACUUUGAUUCAGGGUAUUUCUCGAAGAACUACAUAGGAACCUAAAAGUAAUUGUAAAACUGGUAUUUUAUAUCCCCGUCUGCUUCUUUGUCUUCUGCCUGAAUCUGAAUUCAGAGCCUGUAAUUCAUCUUUUAAUGAUACAUUACUGGUUAACGCUACCUGUCUAGUCUUGCUUGGACUUCUCACAUCUCAUGCCCAAAGAGUGGGUGGUUUGGUGAACUAAAGCUCUUAGAGAAUUAGUUUCCUGUAAAGAUUGGAUACGUCACACUUAAACAUCUCUUUUUCAAAAACAAUUCUCCUUUGAAUCAUAGAACAGCUUGGGUUGCAAGGGACCUUUAAGAUCAUAGUUACAACCCCUUGUGCUACUUGUUAAAUAUGUGAAGUCAAAUAUGGUAUUCUGAUAUUAGAUAGAAUUCUAUUUAUGCCAUUACCAACCUAUCAUAUUGAAACAAAAUUAGAUUUACUUAGAGAAUAUUUGUCCAGAAAACUUGUGCUAGUCAGGCAUGCUACUAGUCUGUUAAUGCCAAUGGAUGGAAGAAGAGUGUUUUUAAAGAGAAGUUAGCAUCUUUUGCUCCUAGCUGUUCCCUGCAUGAACCUUACCUUCUUUCACUGAACUAAUGGAAAUGUGGAAAACUAAUAUAUCUAGAAAUUGUUGAUGUAAUUUCAUGGGUUUAAGAUCAAACUGACUUUUCUUGUCCUGAAUUCACAGAGGGUAACCUGGCUAGAAUUACUAUGCAGUCAGCUUAGUCUCUCUUUUAAGUUAUUGAUACGUGUAACUUACCUGCUUUUGUUGUUUUUGCAGUUUCUUGGUUUCCUGUAAACUCACUGGUAUUUUCUUCCUUGUAUUUUUUUUUCCUACCUCAGCCCCAAAAGUUCUUGGGUACAAACUGUUGAUUACCACAGACCUAAUAAAGAGUUUUGUUUUGUUUGGGCUGGAUAUCAGGAAGAUAAAGAACCUAAAAAAACUUGACGACUAUUCGGCUUUUAUAUGAAGUCAUAAGCAAAGUUCACCUUCACUUGGAAAUGGAGAUGGGCAUUGCUUGUAUAUUUGAAAACAUGAUUCUAGUUCUACAGAUUGAAUUACUUUGUACUGUAACACCUAAAAAUCUUAUGAACAAAAGUGUACUUAGUUACCCUAUUAUCCUGUUGAACUGGAUAUAUAUAUAUA